Myripristis murdjan (pinecone soldierfish) is the source of this 145-nucleotide long non-coding RNA. RefSeq lists it as uncharacterized. The record is from RefSeq and is a predicted model, not a curated record. The transcript is spliced from 4 exons. Lineage: Eukaryota; Metazoa; Chordata; Actinopteri; Holocentriformes; Holocentridae.
GAGGAAGCAGCCAGGUGACAGAUCAGGGAGCUCAGAGCCAGGAGGGACGCAGCGCUGAGAGAAGCCAUGAGAGCGGAGAUCUGCCUCUGACUGUCUGUGUGUGUGUGUGUGUGUGUGUGUGUUCCUGCUUCCUGUGUGUGUGUGC